RNAcentral lists this transfer RNA (88 nucleotides) under subsurface metagenome. Its description in RNAcentral is "tRNA-Leu". It matches the Rfam family "tRNA". From Rfam's summary of the family: Transfer RNA (tRNA) molecules are approximately 80 nucleotides in length. The record is from RNAcentral.
GCCGAGGUGGCGGAAGCUGGUAGACGCGCUAGCUUGAGGGGCUAGUGGGCGCAAGCCCGUGGGAGUUCAAAUCUCCCCCCCGGCACCA